This 501-nucleotide ribosomal RNA is filed under the name uncultured bacterium. RNAcentral's name for it is "bacterial SSU rRNA". It matches the Rfam family "Bacterial small subunit ribosomal RNA", at positions 28 to 517 of the family's 1533-position model. The record is from RNAcentral.
GAUGAACGCUAGCGACAGGCCUAACACAUGCAAGUCGAGGGGCAGCGAAGAGGUAGCAAUACCUCUGUCGGCGACCGGCGCACGGGUGAGUAACACGUAUGCAAUCCACCUGUAACAGGGGGAUAACCCGGAGAAAUCCGGACUAAUACCCCAUAAUAUGGGCGCUCCGCAUGGAGGGCUCAUUAAAGAAAGCAAUUUUGGUUACAGACGAGCAUGCGCUCCAUUAGCCAGUUGGCGGGGUAACGGCCCACCAAGGCGACGAUCAGUAGGGGUUCUGAGAGGAAGGUCCCCCACAUUGGAACUGAGACACGGUCCAAACUCCUACGGGAGGCAGCAGUGAGGAAUAUUGGUCAAUGGACGAGGGUCUGAACCAGCCAAGUAGCGUGCAGGAUGACGGCCCUAUGGGUUGUAAACUGCUUUUAUAAGGGAAUAAAGUGAGUCUCGUGAGGCUUUUGCAUGUACCUUAUGAAUAAGGACCGGCUAAUUCCGUGCCAGCAGCCG